UACAGGGGGGGCAAGCGUUGUUCGGAAUUACUGGGCGUAAAGGGUCUGCAGGUGGCCAACUAAGUCAGACGUGAAAUCCCUCAGCUUAACUGGGGAACUGCGUCUGAUACUGGAUGGCUUGAGUGUGGGAGAGGAAUGCGGAAUUCCAGGUGUAGCGGUGAAAUGCGUAGAUAUCUGGAGGAACACCGGUGGCGAAGGCGGCAUUCUGGACCAUAACUGACACUGAGAGACGAAAGCCAGGGGAGCAAACGGG
This 253-nucleotide ribosomal RNA is filed under the name uncultured bacterium. RNAcentral describes it as "partial 16S ribosomal RNA". It matches the Rfam family "Bacterial small subunit ribosomal RNA", at positions 524 to 776 of the family's 1533-position model. The record is from RNAcentral.